AAGAAACCAGAGCACGCAGCACCCCAGCUUCCUCAUAGCAGGAGAUAGCCAGGCAGAGCAUAAUGUGCAGUGAUAGCUAGGGAUGCUGAGAUGGCAGAGGCAGAAGAUAGAUGUUUGUGAACUGAACGUGGGGAAGGGAGAGGAAAGACUGAAGCCAAAUCUAUGGAGUCAAGCACUGUCAUCAGGACUGCGGCCAGUAACUGAGGAAAGACACCGGUUUCCCUAGUCCACUUGUUUGAUGCUAUUCCUGCUAACUUUUGUCACCUCUGCUGUCUCUGGACACCACCAGACACUGAGGAGGCCACCUAAAACACAGUGAUUGCUAAAUAAGCAUCACUGUUUUAUAGCCCAGCUAUUGCCAGCAGGAAAUUUCAACAUCCCUCAGACUAAAACGAGUUGGUGUUGAAAUGAUUGCAACUGGGUAUUCCCCUCCAUCAGCUCCUCAACCAUGAAACGCUCCUCUUCACUGGGCCCAACUUGAAAGUUUACCUUCAGGUAGAUACUGGACAGAAGACCUGGGAUUAAAUCCUAAUUCUUGCAACCUACUCUUGUAGUGAUGGGUGGAUGUUCUAGUGUACAUCCAGAUGUUGGCUUGGUCUUGCUAACUCGGAUGCAAAGAAAUUUAAAAGAAAGUUAUCUAGCCAUACUGAGAUAGGAUGGAUCUGGGAAGUCAGGAUGAGAGGUGUGCUAGCUCAAGAAAAUAUUGUAGGGUGCAGUUCUUGCCUGUCCAAAUGGUGAUUUUAACACUGAGUGUUAUCGGCUGGUUUGGGGUCCUGAGCUGCAGUGUACA
Oxyura jamaicensis (ruddy duck) is the source of this 790-nucleotide long non-coding RNA. RefSeq lists it as uncharacterized. NCBI's taxonomy places the organism in Eukaryota, Metazoa, Chordata, Aves, Anseriformes, Anatidae. The record is from RefSeq and is a predicted model, not a curated record. The transcript has 3 exons.